AGAUUGAACGCUGGCGGCAUGCCUUACACAUGCAAGUCGAACGGCAGCGCGGGGGCAACCCUGGCGGCGAGUGGCGAACGGGUGAGUAAUAUAUCGGAACGUGCCCUAGAGUGGGGGAUAACGUAGCGAAAGUUACGCUAAUACCGCAUACGAUCUACGGAUGAAAGUGGGGGAUCGCAAGACCUCACGCUCAUGGAGCGGCCGAUAUCUGAUUAGCUAGUUGGUAGGGUAAAAGCCUACCAAGGCGACGAUCAGUAGCUGGUCUGAGAGGAUGAUCAGCCACACUGGGACUGAGACACGGCCCAGACUCCUACGGGAGGCAGCAUUAGGGAAUCUUGGACAAUGGGCGAAAGCCUGAUCCAGCCAUGCCGCGUGAGUGAAGAAGGCCUUAGGGUUGUAAAGCUCUUUUGGCGGGGACGAUAAUGACGGUACCCGCAGAAUAAGCCCGGCUAACUUCGUGCCAGCAGCCGCGGUAA
Molecule: ribosomal RNA, 476 nt
Filed under: uncultured bacterium
Lineage: Bacteria
Description: SSU rRNA
Rfam family: Bacterial small subunit ribosomal RNA
Source: RNAcentral